GGGGCUGAAGUCCUGCGCUGGGUUUUCCGCCGUGUGCUGCGCUCCAAAAGUCUCCUCGCCUCCUUUUACCAGACAGAAAUGUUGCCAGAUGGUUUAGAAUCGCGGACGCACCAAAGACACCGCACUCCUGCGGUCAGAGGGUGAGGCAGCCUGAACUCCUCCGGACCGACAGAUCCGCUGCGCCGAGCCGGCCGGUGGUCAAGGAGUACGUGCACCUGAAGCACAAGAAGGAAGAAGAAAUGCCAUUUGUGCCUUAACUGGGCCGUCCUUCGCACGUGCUGGCUGACUCCCAGCGCUCGUUCAACCUAGGCCCUAAAUGGCUGAUGCACGGCGGUUCUUCACUGGCGAGCUUUAUGUUCCUGUACACAUGCUAAAGCUGCCAGCUGAAGAACUGCUCUGGUCAGCCCUGCCCCGGAUGAGUCAAGAAGAGGAAGCGGAUGGAGGGGGGUGGUGGAAAGAGGACUGAGGAGAGGACUGUUUCACACGCUAUGUCAGGCUGGACGUUAAUAACACACCAGAUUUCAGCAGCUACAUUGUUCAAAUUUCUGCUUUCAUCCCAGUAAAGCAGCGUGUCAGGCAUAUUUCAAUCAGUUUAAAAUUAUUGUACUUUAGGGAUCCCACUUUUCCUUGCCUUUUCUAAUAAAAGUGCUUAAAUUUUGUGCUCGUUUUAAAACAAAGAACCUAUACUGUCCUUUUUAAAGUUGGCAAAAGCAAAUUUGUGCAAU
Long non-coding RNA from Thalassophryne amazonica, 725 nucleotides. RefSeq lists it as uncharacterized. The transcript has 2 exons. The record is from RefSeq and is a predicted model, not a curated record. Lineage: Eukaryota; Metazoa; Chordata; Actinopteri; Batrachoidiformes; Batrachoididae.